Molecule: ribosomal RNA, 839 nt
Filed under: uncultured Marinobacter sp.
Lineage: Bacteria; Pseudomonadati; Pseudomonadota; Gammaproteobacteria; Pseudomonadales; Marinobacteraceae
Description: bacterial SSU rRNA
Rfam family: Bacterial small subunit ribosomal RNA
Source: RNAcentral
UGGGGGCACCCUGAUCAGCCAUGCCGCGUGUGUGAAGAAGGCUUUCGGGUUGUAAAGCACUUUCAGCAAGGAGGAAGGCCUUGAAGUUAAUACCUUCAAGGAUUGACGUUACUUGCAGAAGAAGCACCGGCUAACUCCGUGCCAGCAGCCGCGGUAAUACGGAGGGUGCAAGCGUUAAUCGGAAUUACUGGGCGUAAAGCGCGCGUAGGUGGUUCGAUAAGCGAGAUGUGAAAGCCCCGGGCUCAACCUGGGAACGGCAUUUCGAACUGUCGGGCUAGAGUAUGGUAGAGGGUAGUGGAAUUUCCUGUGUAGCGGUGAAAUGCGUAGAUAUAGGAAGGAACACCAGUGGCGAAGGCGGCUACCUGGACCAAUACUGACACUGAGGUGCGAAAGCGUGGGUAGCAAACAGGAUUAGAUACCCUGGUAGUCCACGCCGUAAACGAUGUCAACUAGCCGUUGGGACUCUUGAAGUCUUAGUGGCGCAGCUAACGCACUAAGUUGACCGCCUGGGGAGUACGGCCGCAAGGUUAAAACUCAAAUGAAUUGACGGGGGCCCGCACAAGCGGUGGAGCAUGUGGUUUAAUUCGACGCAACGCGAAGAACCUUACCUGGCCUUGACAUCCAGAGAACUUUCCAGAGAUGGAUUGGUGCCUUCGGGAACUCUGAGACAGGUGCUGCAUGGCCGUCGUCAGCUCGUGUCGUGAGAUGUUGGGUUAAGUCCCGUAACGAGCGCAACCCCUAUCCCUGGUUGCUAGCAGGUAAUGCUGAGAACUCCAGGGAGACUGCCGGUGACAAACCGGAGGAAGGGUGGGGAUGACGUCAGGUCAUCAUGGCCCUUA